This 253-nucleotide ribosomal RNA is filed under the name uncultured bacterium. RNAcentral describes it as "partial 16S ribosomal RNA". It matches the Rfam family "Bacterial small subunit ribosomal RNA", at positions 524 to 776 of the family's 1533-position model. The record is from RNAcentral.
UACGAAGGGUGCAAGCGUUACUCGGAAUUACUGGGCGUAGAGCGUGCGUAGGCGGUUUGUUAAGUCUGAUGUGAAAUCCCCGGGCUCAACCUGGGACGUGCAUUGGAAACUGGCAAUCUAGAGUACGGUAGAGGGUGGUGGAAUUCCCGGUGUAGCAGUGAAAUGCGUAGAGAUCGGGAGGAACACUCGUGGCGAAGGCGGCCACCUGGACCAGUACUGACGCUGAGGCACGAAAGCGUGGGGAGCAAACAGG